Molecule: ribosomal RNA, 460 nt
Filed under: uncultured bacterium
Lineage: Bacteria
Description: partial 16S ribosomal RNA
Rfam family: Bacterial small subunit ribosomal RNA
Source: RNAcentral
CCUACGGGAGGCUGCAGUGAGGAAUAUUGGUCAAUGGACGAGAGUCUGAACCAGCCAAGUAGCGUGAAGGAUGACUGCCCUAUGGGUUGUAAACUUCUUUUAUAUGGGAAUAAAAUGUUCCACGUGUGGGAUUUUGUAUGUACCAUAUGAAUAAGGAUCGGCUAACUCCGUGCCAGCAGCCGCGGUAAUACAGAGGAUCCGAGCGUUAUCCGGAUUUAUUGGGUUUAAAGGGAGCGUAGGUGGAUUGUUAAGUCAGUUGUGAAAGUUUGCGGCUCAACCGUAAAAUUGCAGUUGAAACUGGCAGUCUUGAGUACAGUAGAGGUGGGCGGAGUUCGUGGUGUAGCGGUGAAAUGCUUAGAUAUCACGAAGAACUCCGAUUGCGAAGGCAGUUCACUGGACUGCAACUGACACUGAGGCUCGAAAGUGUGGGUAUCAAACAGGAUUAGAUACCCUAGUAGUC